This 2578-nucleotide long non-coding RNA is filed under the name Sus scrofa (pig). Its description in RNAcentral is "lncRNA (ENSSSCG00025031089.1)". Lineage: Eukaryota; Metazoa; Chordata; Mammalia; Artiodactyla; Suidae. The record is from RNAcentral.
CUUCAGGGGGGCUGUGAAUUACCUUUCACCUACGUUAACUUUUUAUUGGAGUAGAAUACACGCGGAGAAGUGCACGGAUCAUGGGGUUCCCAUCCCACUUGCAAAAAGUCACAGGCACACCUCUUCAGCCAGCCCCCUCCAGAUGAAGAAGCACAAUCUCGCCAGCAACCCCAGAAACCCACCACCACGCCACGCCUCCCUUCUGGCCUUGAAGAAAAGCAGAAAGUCGCAAACGCUCUUUCCUCCAGGAAGCUUCUCGCAUCCCCAGUAGCAGCCUCCCAGGAUCCCCAUGUUGGGGAAAAGUGACUCUGGCUCGGAUCGGCAGUGUCGGAAAGGGAGACACGCGGACACGGGGAGAUCGAGGCAAGGCUCUUUAUCUCUGCAGAAGGGCGAGAGUGCCCACAAAGCGCGCCAAAGCGGGAAGCCCCCUCCCAUUUAUCCCUAAGGCAGGUGGCAUCCCUGUCCCCUUCCCAUGGGUCGGGUCAGGGCGCACAUUCUUCUCGGCUGGCUCAUUUGAAACAAAUUGUUCCUGGGAGAAGAGGGAGGAGGAGGGGGUCUCAGACGAAGCAGGAAAAAAUGGAGUCAGCAAGGCUUCCUCUGAUGGAAAAGGCAUAUGUUCAUUCUCACACCCAGAACCCGUUUUCUCACCUUUAUCAACCCCGCUGGCGGUGACCCAAGAGACUGUCUCCCGCAGCCCCCGCACGGAGCAGGGACCACCCAUUUUCUUCAGACCUGGUCGGAGGCAAGCGCUCUUGCCCAGGGCAGGGAGGGCAGAGAUUCGGCGGCCCUGGCCGUGCCCAGCACCCCCACUCCAGGGACCAGGAUGGCCCGGUGGGGAGAGAAGUCCUAGAAACUGUUCGGGGGCUGCAGGGAGCCUCAGAACCCAGCUUGGCCCAGACCUGAGGCCUGGUCACUCCAGCAGGUGCAUGGUCCCCCAGGAAGCCUCUCUCAGCCGCAGCCUCACUGAGGUCAGUGACUGGGGAGGCCCAGAGACCUAUCUCCCUCUUGUGCGUCAGCCUCAUCUCCUGGUCCAGGGCCUGCAGCUCCUGUGAGGACCUGGAGCACCUGACCAGCGGGGGAGAGGCGGGGGCCGCCAGUCACCCAGCUGGCCCAAACCUGCACCUGCUAUGGCCCCUUGCUUCACACCCACCAGUGUCCUAAAUGCGCCGAAGAUGACACAAGUCACAAAUAACCAGAACAUCAGAAAAGAGGGAAAAUGCUGGGUGCUGGGGGCGGGGAGGGGCUUCCCACGAAAACUGAAAACCCCAGAUGCCACCCAGGAAAAUCGCAAGAGCUCACAGGCAGACAAAAAUGAACAGCUGAAUGGCGGGCUGCAGGAAAUAUUUAUAAUGUGUCUGAGAGACAAAGGGGCGCUACUCCAUAAACAAAGUCUCCUCCAAAUUAAUUGGAAAUUGCUCUCAAUAGAAAAACGGACAGAGACUCUGAGUAAGCAAUUCACGGAAGAGGAGUAAAAACAGCAAUAAAUGUCUGAAAAGCUUCUCAACCAGGGAAAUUUAAAUGACAAAAUGAAAUGAUGAGAUUUUUUGGAGGUUCUUUUUUUUUGCCUGUGACAGUGGCCCAACAUCCAGAGCUAUCGAGAGCGCGUGGGGUGGAGCAGGCGGACGCGUCCACAGCCUGUGCACUGGGACACGUCUGGGGGCGGGUACUUUGUGGGUUUUUUUGUCUUUUUAGGCCCACACCCGUGGCAUAUGGAGGUUCCCAGGCUAGAGGUCUAAUUGGAGCUACCGCUGCCAGCCUACACCACAGCUCAGGGCAACGCCUGAUCCUUAACCCACUGAGUGAGGCCAGGGAUCAAACCUGCAACCUUGUAGUUCCUAGUCGCAUUCACCAACCAAUGAGCCACGACGGGAACUCCUGGAGGUGGGUACUUUGGCAGAAUGUUCCAUAAUGUGAAGUGCAUGGCCCUUCUUGGUGGGUGGUAGGCAGACGUUGGGGCAGGCAGGUGUGGGGGAAGCAGGUGUGGGGGCAGGUAGGUCUGGGGCUGGCAGGUGUGGGGCCUGGCAGGUGGGGGUGGGGUGGGCAUCUUGUGUGAGAUGCUAGUCUCCCAGUUCUGUCUAAAUGGACAGGGUCACUGCAACCUCACAGGUGGCCAAGAAGGUUUUGAUUCCAGCCCCCACCGCUGCGAGGGAGGGUCUGGAACCAGGCAGAGCGGGAAGGGUGGGGCCGGGGCAGGGUCUCUGUAGAGAGAUGAGCAGGCAGGGCAGGCGCCCCCAAACCAGGAGGGCUGCCCCCAGGACUUGACCAUCAACCCUCACUCAACAUGGAGACCAGAGCGGCCCUGGAGGUACCCUCUGGAGUCCCAUGAAGGGGGGAUCAGAGAGGAACCUACACCCCAACUCUGGGGCCAGUGGGUAUCCCCAGUGCCUUGCCCAUGCCCUUGGGGCUCCAGUUUGGGGUGGGCCGUGGGGCAUGGUGUCCUGCGCCCAGCUUGCUGGAAGAAUGACACUGUGGGGCUGCCAGGUAAGACACAGGAACCCAGCUGGGUUUGAAUGACAGGUAACUAACAAGUAAUGUUUUAUAGAACAUUAUCCAUGCAGUACUGGGGACACGCUUGUAC